Molecule: ribosomal RNA, 1528 nt
Filed under: Klebsiella pneumoniae
Lineage: Bacteria; Pseudomonadati; Pseudomonadota; Gammaproteobacteria; Enterobacterales; Enterobacteriaceae
Description: bacterial SSU rRNA
Rfam family: Bacterial small subunit ribosomal RNA
Source: RNAcentral
AGAGUUUGAUCAUGGCUCAGAUUGAACGCUGGCGGCAGGCCUAACACAUGCAAGUCGAGCGGUAGCACAGAGAGCUUGCUCUCGGGUGACGAGCGGCGGACGGGUGAGUAAUGUCUGGGAAACUGCCUGAUGGAGGGGGAUAACUACUGGAAACGGUAGCUAAUACCGCAUAACGUCGCAAGACCAAAGUGGGGGACCUUCGGGCCUCAUGCCAUCAGAUGUGCCCAGAUGGGAUUAGCUAGUAGGUGGGGUAACGGCUCACCUAGGCGACGAUCCCUAGCUGGUCUGAGAGGAUGACCAGCCACACUGGAACUGAGACACGGUCCAGACUCCUACGGGAGGCAGCAGUGGGGAAUAUUGCACAAUGGGCGCAAGCCUGAUGCAGCCAUGCCGCGUGUGUGAAGAAGGCCUUCGGGUUGUAAAGCACUUUCAGCGGGGAGGAAGGCGUUAAGGUUAAUAACCUUGGCGAUUGACGUUACCCGCAGAAGAAGCACCGGCUAACUCCGUGCCAGCAGCCGCGGUAAUACGGAGGGUGCAAGCGUUAAUCGGAAUUACUGGGCGUAAAGCGCACGCAGGCGGUCUGUCAAGUCGGAUGUGAAAUCCCCGGGCUCAACCUGGGAACUGCAUUCGAAACUGGCAGGCUAGAGUCUUGUAGAGGGGGGUAGAAUUCCAGGUGUAGCGGUGAAAUGCGUAGAGAUCUGGAGGAAUACCGGUGGCGAAGGCGGCCCCCUGGACAAAGACUGACGCUCAGGUGCGAAAGCGUGGGGAGCAAACAGGAUUAGAUACCCUGGUAGUCCACGCCGUAAACGAUGUCGAUUUGGAGGUUGUGCCCUUGAGGCGUGGCUUCCGGAGCUAACGCGUUAAAUCGACCGCCUGGGGAGUACGGCCGCAAGGUUAAAACUCAAAUGAAUUGACGGGGGCCCGCACAAGCGGUGGAGCAUGUGGUUUAAUUCGAUGCAACGCGAAGAACCUUACCUGGUCUUGACAUCCACAGAACUUUCCAGAGAUGGAUUGGUGCCUUCGGGAACUGUGAGACAGGUGCUGCAUGGCUGUCGUCAGCUCGUGUUGUGAAAUGUUGGGUUAAGUCCCGCAACGAGCGCAACCCUUAUCCUUUGUUGCCAGCGGUUAGGCCGGGAACUCAAAGGAGACUGCCAGUGAUAAACUGGAGGAAGGUGGGGAUGACGUCAAGUCAUCAUGGCCCUUACGACCAGGGCUACACACGUGCUACAAUGGCAUAUACAAAGAGAAGCGACCUCGCGAGAGCAAGCGGACCUCAUAAAGUAUGUCGUAGUCCGGAUUGGAGUCUGCAACUCGACUCCAUGAAGUCGGAAUCGCUAGUAAUCGUAGAUCAGAGUGCUACGGUGAAUACGUUCCCGGGCCUUGUACACACCGCCCGUCACACCAUGGGAGUGGGUUGCAAAAGAAGUAGGUAGCUUAACCUUCGGGAGGGCGCUUACCACUUUGUGAUUCAUGACUGGGGUGAAGUCGUAACAAGGUAACCGUAGGGGAACCUGCGGUUGGAUCACCU